Molecule: ribosomal RNA, 487 nt
Filed under: uncultured bacterium
Lineage: Bacteria
Description: bacterial SSU rRNA
Rfam family: Bacterial small subunit ribosomal RNA
Source: RNAcentral
GACGACGCUGGCGGCGUGGAUUAGGCAUGCAAGUCGAACGGUAGGAUACCUUCGGGUAUCUGAGAGUGGCGAACGGGUGAGUAACACGUAGGUGAUCUACCCUCAAGAUUGGGACAACCCAGGGAAACUUGGGCUAAUACCGGAUGAAAGCAGCAGUGAUGUUGUUUGAAAGGUGGCGUAAGCUGCCGUUUGGGGGAUGAGCCUGCGCUCUAUUAGUUAGUUGGCGGGGUAAAGCCCACCAAGGCGAUGAUAGAUAGGCGGCCUUAACGGGUGGUCGCCCACACUGGGAUUGAGAUACGGCCCAGACUCCUACGGGAGGCAGCAGUCGAGAAUAGUCUACAAUGGCCGAAAGGCUGAUAGUGCGACGCCGCGUGAACGAAGAAGCCCUUCGGGGUGUAAAGUUCUUUUAUAUGUGAGCAGUGCUUUCUAUGUGAACAGCAUGGGGAGAGAGAUAUUAGCAUAUGAAUAAGCAACGGCUAACUCCGUG